AUGGAAGAAGCAGGCAUGGAGUUCCUUCUGGACGCCGUGGACAGGUUCCCCUUGCUUGAGGAAUUCGCCGACGGCGUUGAGCAUCCAGAUCCAGUUCCUCUGGGGCGGAUGCAAGCGAACGAGCCCAGUUACGCGGGUAGCCCUGUAUCAAAAGAUGAUUCUGGGUGCGGCCAGCAGAUUGGCGAAGUUGAGGUGAACGGAAGGCAACCUGCUGCUCGCCGCCGUACGAACACAUCUCCAACUCGGUCUGGACAGUCAACUGACAGGGUGAAUCCAGAAGCACCCGGGUGGACUAAAAGGUUACGGCUAGGGAGCGCGCCACCGGACAGGACACCAUGUCCCAGCCGUAUGAGCGCUCUGGAGGAGUCGAUGCGCAAGUACGCUAAAGAGCCCAGCAAAAAUGUGGUGCGGCCAACACUUGGUCUGACUUUUGAUUCGCUUGGUGAAGCAUACGACUUCUACAAUUUGUAUUCCUGGGAAACCGGUUUCGGCAUUAGAUAUGGAAAGAGUCGGCUGAACGUUGAGAGGAUAAAGUGCAUGCAAGAAAUAGUGUGCGGUUGCUCGGGGAAGCCAGAAGCAGAAAAUAGUAGAUCGUGCAGGUGUGAGUGUCCAGCUUUGAUAAGAUUGUUGCGAGCAGCGGACAACAGCUGGUACAUUACAGAACACAGAGAGAACCAUAAUCAUUCAAUGUCAUUGACAAUGGGUGAGAAAGUUCACCGGCCGUCGCACAAGCACAUUGAUGUGUACACUAAGGAUCUCAUAAAACAGCUACGGAAGAACAAUGUUAACCUUGGCAAGGUGUACAGCAUAAUAGGAUGUUUCUUCGGGUCGGUUGAGAAGGUUCCAUUCACUAAGAGGACUCUGAGGAACAUAUGCGGGAAGAUCAGUCAGGAGCAGGCCGAUGAUGAUGUUAGGAAGACACUUGAAGUGUUCGCUGACAUAUAG
Molecule: ribosomal RNA, 945 nt
Filed under: Triticum aestivum (bread wheat)
Lineage: Eukaryota; Viridiplantae; Streptophyta; Magnoliopsida; Poales; Poaceae
Description: partial small subunit ribosomal RNA
Source: RNAcentral